Molecule: non-coding RNA, 45 nt
Organism: Schistosoma mansoni
Lineage: Eukaryota; Metazoa; Platyhelminthes; Trematoda; Strigeidida; Schistosomatidae
Source: Rfam
AUCCGGCUGACGAGUCCCAAAUGGGACGAAACGUGCGUCCUGGAU